UACAGAGGUCUCAAGCGUUGUUCGGAUUCAUUGGGCGUAAAGGGUGCGUAGGCGGUUCGGUAAGUCGGGUGUGAAAACUUUGGGCUUAACCCAAAGCGUGCACUCGAUACUGCCAUGACUAGAGUUCGGUAGGGGAGUGGGGAAUUCCUAGUGUAGCGGUGAAAUGCGCAGAUAUUAGGAGGAACACCGGUGGCGAAGGCAGGUCUCUGGGCAUUAACUGACGCUGAGGGGCGAAAGCAUGGGGAGCGAACAGG
This 254-nucleotide ribosomal RNA is filed under the name uncultured bacterium. RNAcentral describes it as "partial 16S ribosomal RNA". It matches the Rfam family "Bacterial small subunit ribosomal RNA", at positions 524 to 776 of the family's 1533-position model. The record is from RNAcentral.